This 478-nucleotide ribosomal RNA is filed under the name uncultured bacterium. RNAcentral's name for it is "bacterial SSU rRNA". It matches the Rfam family "Bacterial small subunit ribosomal RNA", at positions 27 to 518 of the family's 1533-position model. The record is from RNAcentral.
GGACGAACGCUGGCGGCGUGCCUAACACAUGCAAGUCGAACGGAGUUAAUGAUUUCGGUUGUUAACUUAGUGGCGAACGGGUGAGUAACGCGUGAACAACCUGACCCAAAGAGGGGGAUAACAUUUGGAAACAGAUGCUAAUACCGCAUAAGACCACAACGUCACAUGGCGAAGGGGUCAAAGGAGCAAUCCGCUUUGGAGGGGUUCGCGUCCCAUUAGGUAGUAGGCGGGGUAACAGCCCACCUAGCCAACGAUGGGUAGCCGAGCUGAGAGGCUGAUCGGCCACACUGGAACUGAGACACGGUCCAGACUCCUGCGGGAGGCAGCAGUGGGGAAUAUUGGGCAAUGGGCGCAAGCCUGACCCAGCAACGCCGCGUGAGGGAAGAAGGUUUUCGGAUUGUAAACCUCUGUCGCAGAAGACGAAGGAAGUGACGGUAUUCUGUGAGGAAGCCCCGGCUAACUACGUGCCAGCCGCGGC